AUGAGCUCAGCUCUGGAGAUGAAGUCCUAUAUUUAUACACAGAACAGGUACAGCAUGGACAGCAGCAGGGCAAUCUUUCCGCUUAUCAAUGUACCUCAGCCCUGAGCUAGAGGGACCACCUCUGGGGGUUAUCUCUAUGGCCCAUUCAGUCCUUGGUCCCU
RNAcentral lists this small RNA (161 nucleotides) under Gopherus agassizii (Agassiz's desert tortoise). RNAcentral describes it as "TUC338 (ENSGAGG00000018832.1)". The record is from RNAcentral. Lineage: Eukaryota; Metazoa; Chordata; Testudines; Testudinidae.